ACCCAGCCGAUAAGUCCCGAAAAGAACGAAACGCGUGUCCUGGAU
This 45-nucleotide non-coding RNA is filed under the name Schistosoma mattheei. The record is from RNAcentral. Lineage: Eukaryota; Metazoa; Platyhelminthes; Trematoda; Strigeidida; Schistosomatidae.